GAGCGGCGAACGGGUGAGUAACACGUGGGUGAUCUGCCUCGCACUUCGGGAUAAGCCUGGGAAACUGGGUCUAAUACCGGAUAUGACCUUUCAGUGCAUGCUGUUGGGUGGAAAGAUUUAUCGGUGCGAGAUGGGCCCGCGGCCUAUCAGCUUGUUGGCGGGGUAACGGCCCACCAAGGCGACGACGGGUAGCCGACCUGAGAGGGUGACCGGCCACACUGGGACUGAGACACGGCCCAGACUCCUACGGGAGGCAGCAGUGGGGAAUAUUGCACAAUGGGCGAAAGCCUGAUGCAGCGACGCCGCGUGAGGGAUGACGGCCUUCGGGUUGUAAACCUCUUUCGACAGGGACGAAGCGCAAGUGACGGUACCUGUAGAAGAAGCACCGGCCAACUACGUGCCAGCAGCCGCGGUAAUACGUAGGGUGCGAGCGUUGUCCGGAAUUACUGGGCGUAAAGAGCUUGUAGGCGGUUUGUCGCGUCGUCCGUGAAAACUUGGGGCUCAACCCCAAGCUUGCGGGCGAUACGGGCAGACUUGAGUACUUCAGGGGAGACUGGAAUUCCUGGUGUAGCGGUGAAAUGCGCAGAUAUCAGGAGGAACACCGGUGGCGAAGGCGGGUCUCUGGGAAGUAACUGACGCUGAGAAGCGAAAGCGUGGGUAGCGAACAGGAUUAGAUACCCUGGUAGU
RNAcentral lists this ribosomal RNA (687 nucleotides) under Nocardia sp. RNAcentral describes it as "bacterial SSU rRNA". It matches the Rfam family "Bacterial small subunit ribosomal RNA", at positions 93 to 794 of the family's 1533-position model. Lineage: Bacteria; Bacillati; Actinomycetota; Actinomycetes; Mycobacteriales; Nocardiaceae. The record is from RNAcentral.